Molecule: ribosomal RNA, 590 nt
Filed under: Pisolithus tinctorius
Lineage: Eukaryota; Fungi; Basidiomycota; Agaricomycetes; Boletales; Pisolithaceae
Description: eukaryotic LSU rRNA
Rfam family: 5.8S ribosomal RNA (bases 141-295)
Source: RNAcentral
UUCCUCCGAAGCCCUUCGUUUACUCUUUGACACACCUCACGUGCACCCCAUUCGCAAGGGCCCUUCGGGACCCGCGCGGUUUCAUCUCCGACUCGCAUGUCUACAGAAUGUCGAUAGCAUUUGAUAUAUAUAAAAAAUACAACUUUCAGCAACGGAUCUCUUGGCUCUCGCAUCGAUGAAGAACGCAGCGAAUCGCGAUAAGUAAUGUGAAUUGCAGAUUUUCCGUGAAUCAUCGAAUCUUUGAACGCACCUUGCGCUCCUUGGUAUUCCGAGGAGCAUGCCUGUUUGAGUGUCAUCGAAAUCUCAAACCAAGCUUUUCUUGACUUCGGUCGAAGGCUCGGGUUUGGACCGUUGGGAGUCUGCGGGCGACGCAUGUCGUCGGCUCUCCUGAAAUGCAUUAGCGGUGGGCAUGCAAGUCUUGCUUGGCACCAGCCUCUCCCGGCGUCAUAGUGAUCGUCGCGGGCUGUCCAGCUGCAAGGGACAUGUCCCAUGCUUCUCCAACUUUGCGAGCCCUCUCCUGGGCUCUGCGUUCGAAGGCUUGACCUCAAAUCAGGUAGGACUACCCGCUGAACUUAAGCAUAUCAAUAAGC